Macaca mulatta (Rhesus monkey) is the source of this 7248-nucleotide non-coding RNA. NCBI's taxonomy places the organism in Eukaryota, Metazoa, Chordata, Mammalia, Primates, Cercopithecidae. The record is from RefSeq and is a predicted model, not a curated record.
GGUCACAGCUGAGGCGGAAGGAUCACUUGAGGCCAGGAGGUCGAGGAUGCGGUGAGCUAUGAACUCACCAUGCCACUCCAGCCUGUGUGAUAGAGACACUUGUCUCUAAUAGUAGCAGUAAUAAUAAUGCUCAAUAAGUAUCAUCAGAGUGGUGACAUCACAGGUGGUAUACAGAGUGAGCAUUAGACUUGGUAGUUAUUCCUGUCCUCAGCAAUGUGUCAUCUUAAUCUUAAAGAUGAACAUACUGUUUAUAGCACAGAGUAAAGUGCCGGAUGUGGCAAGCUAAGAUGCAAACAUCCAUCUUCAAGACCUUUCUGUAAUACUCAAUUUUCUCUAACGCAGAGUUUGGCCUAUACUAUUCUUAGAUGACCUGUUGGUACAAGGGCUACCAUUUUCUUUUGGCAGUUUCUGAGUCUCCAUGUCCCCUCAAGUGAAAUCCAUAAUGUCUUCUAAGUUUCCAGUGGAUUUCAAAGCCUCGUAAUUAACGUCCAUUUAGUAGCGAUAGGGAAUGACUGCUUGUUGCUUUCUUAACAUCCUUUCUUUUACAGGUAAAAGGAUAAAUUUAUAAUUAGCAGCCUCCAAUUUGCAUAGACGCAGAAGUUUAAUUAAGGGAGCAGAAAGUGACUGAAAUUUAAUUGAAAGUAAUACUAUGAUCUAGGUUUUAAUAAACCAAAACAUAAAUGGAUACAUUCUUAUUUCUAUUCUAAAAGGGUACUUUAUUCAAAAUGUGAUAAUCCAAUCUUGAAUUGAGAUAUGUUUUUUGUCAUCACUGGGUAAGCAACUUCCUAGCCACUUUCCACAAAGUGGAUUUUGCUAUGAGCUAUGAGCUGGAUACCAGUCUGCCCAGUGAAGAGCCUCCUUCAUUCCUACUUCCAUAAAAAAGUAACUUGGGAAUAGAGUCAGUGCUGUCCACAGGCCUUGGUAAUAUCAAGAUGCUGCUGUCCUCAUUCGAUAUUUAAACAUCAGCUCUGACGCUGUUUUCAUGCACUUUUCAAAUGAAAGCUCUCCCCUCUGCCUAGCUAAUGGACAGCACAGUGGGAGGAGACCCGUCUGCCGCCCUCCCUAGGCAAUGUAGCUGCCAAGCGGGUGGAAGCCAGAGCAAGAGAGCCAGGAGGUUCACAGCAGUGUGUCUUUCCAGAUCCAAGGGAGACACAAAAGGGAAUUAAAAACUUCACGUUGCGUUGUUGUCACUCUACCCGGGUCUCGCUUGGGAGAGCUCUGCAGCUGCAGAGUGCUGAGAAGUCAGCCCUUCAGAGCAAUUACAAUUCAUAUUGACUAUAAACCUCCCACUGUGCAAGGAAAGGAAGGGAGGUGCUUGCCAAGCGCUCAGAGGGGCGACUGGAAGUUAUUUUACCAUCUGAUGAUAUAUACCACGUUGGCAAACAUUAGGGGAAAAGAGAAGGAGGAGAGAAAGCAAAGAGUUUGUGGAGAAGCUGACAACUGAUCAUCCGGCAUUCAUGAAAGGAACUGGGACCCAGGAGCACUGGUGUCGCCCACCUGUCACUGCUGCAACUGGCUUGUCUAUGGUCUACACUUGGGCGAGGAAAGCUUUUAACCUGAUGUCCCAGCUCACACACAACUAGAGGAGAGGGCAGGGAACACAAGGAAGUGAAGAGCACUUUGGUCAGAACACUUGGUUUGCCUCUUUGCUCUGCCAAUUACUAAGUGGAUGACUCUUAACAAACCAAUUAACCUCUCUUAACCUUUGUUACCUCAUCUGUAAAAUAGGAUCAGAAUAUGAAGAUUAGCAACAAUACAUCGGAGGUGCUUUGUAAACAUGAACACAUUAUGCACAUUGUCCUUUAUUAAAAGUUUUGUAUUAAUUAUGCAUAUUCUUUUGGGCAGUGCCGAGAAAAUAAAAAAGGCAGAGAGGAGAGGUGUGAACCCACCACAGAGCAAUCUUCUAAGAUAAAGGUGUUUUUACAUUUUUGCAACACAAACUCAAAAAGCAAAAAAUGUAAGCGGUGUUUAUGACCAUUGUUAUAAUAACAGCAAUUAUCAUUUGUUCUCAUUAUCGUUUGCUAAGUCUUGCAUUUAUUUACACAGCACAAUUAAUCUGAAAGUUCACCUAACCAUUUCACAAAUGCUACGGUGGAAUGGAGUCCAAGGAAGUGAACAGAGUUGAACGUUAGGACACAGCUGGGCAGUGCAGGAAUUAAAAGGUAAAUCACCAGGCAAAAGGAACAACGAGAUUGAUGCCAGUUUUAGAAUGGGGCCAGAUUGGCACAGGGGCUCACGCCUGUAAUCCCAGCAUUUUGGGAGGCCAAGGUGGGCAGAUCACUUGAGGUCAGUAGUUCAAGACCAGCCUGGCCAACAUGGUGAAACCCUGUCUCUGCUAAAAAUGCAAAAUAAAAUUAGCCAGGUGUAGUAGUACACACCUGUAAUUCCAGCUACUUGGGAGGUUGAGGGAGGAGGAUCACUUGAACCCAGGAGGCAGAGGUUGUGGUGAGCCGAGACCAUGCCACUGUACUCCAGCCAGGAUGAAAAAGCAAGACUCCGUCUUAAAAAAAUAAAUAAAAAUAAAAAAAGAAUGGGGCCAGAAUAUUUGACUUCCAAAGGAUUUAAGUAUCUCAAAGCCAGUGUUGACUCUUAUUGUCUCAUUUCAUGACACCAGCGAUCGGCAGAUAAAGGCAGGUGGGUUUACGAAUAGCUCGUGAGCUCACAAUGAAUUUUAUAUUUUAAGUGGUUGAAAAAAAUUAUAGAAGAAUCAUAUUUCGUGGCUUGUGCAAGUUAUUUGAAAUUAAAAUGUCAUUGUCUCUAAAUAAAGUUUUAUCAGAACACAGCCAUGCCCAUUUGUUUAUGGCUGCUUUUGUCUUACGAUGUCAGAGUUGAGUAGUUGCAACUAGAUUGUAGGUAUAGGUUGGCAAAGCCUGAGAUAUUUAUCAUCUGGUCCUUUAGAGAAGUAUGCCAAUCCCUGCACUGCAUGAAGAUGGACUCCUGAAGGUUCUCAACACUGUUAUUAAAAUUCUUAUUUUAUUCCGUACUCCCUUUUUGGUGCCUUUUCUCAGCACUCUGUGAAGUAGCAAUGAUGAUAGCUCUCAUAUCCAUUCCAAACGAUGCCCACUUCUCUGUCUUCCAAGAGUGGCCCCUGCCACCCUCCAGGGGUCCUCCCUGUCUUGUAGAUGUUGUGCUCCACUUGACAGCUAUGGCUCACCUUAUUUUCAACCUCAGCUACAACAAGACACUUUCUUGCCUCGCCCCUGACUAGUCAUCUCUGCCUCCAUCUUCAUUAUGCAAACAAUUCUAUACUCUGCCCACUUGGGCUUUUUUGGAGUCACUCUUUUCUGGGGUUAACAAAAAUCUGAUUCUUGCCCUGGAUCUUUGGUUAUGCUCACUGGUCUGCUGUUGGUUCUGGUUCUACCUAUGAGGAAGUUUGUUUUCGGAUAGUGGCACUGGUUGGUUUGUUUCUGUAGCACACAGCAUUCUGUGGCAGCAUCUGAGUCCGUCUUCACUACUACUGCCUUAGAGGGGGCCAUCAUCUUCCCAGGAGGAGUACAGUUGCAUCAAUCGGCACCUUCAACCAAAAUGUAUCAUUGCAUACUCCUUACCUCUGCUGGUUUCAAACCUAUAUUUUAUCAUCACCAACUCUUCUCCCUGCCUCUUCACCCUCUCUCCCUGUUUUCUGUCUGGAAUCUCUGUAGCGAAAGUUUAUUUGUGAAGCAGAGGUGGCAUGCCUUAAGUUGACCAGAAGAUCAUGGUCAAAUGAGCCCUACCCAAUUUACUACAUUUCUUUUGAAUUCCUUAGGUAUCUCCUAAGGACCUCUCAGAAUCCUGUAAUUACAAUUUCAUAAUUUCAAAAAUACUUUACAUGUUAUAAUAAUAAUGAUUUCAACAAUAAGAGAAAGGGACCACUCUGUCAUAGAGAUUUCUUUUCUAUUUAGAUGGACUCUGAAAUCUUGUCACUUCAAAAGUGAACCUCAAUUUUUACAUCAAAAAAUUACUAGUUAUUGUUAACUGUUAGAAGUAUGUGUCAUUUAUAUUCUGCAUAACUCUGAUACUUUUAAAAAUGUGUAAUAUGUGUUUGUGACAAUCUUAUAGUCAUAAACUGAGCCUUUAGAAAUAGAUUUUCAAUGUUAGAUUCCAGUAAGAUAUGUUUUAGCUGAAACAGAUAUUUAAUUAAAUCAGGACAGGCCUUUGGUGAACCAGCAGGCAACAUGCCUGCCUGUAUUAAUGUGGUUCUCCCUUUGCUGUGAUGCAGAGAGCUCCAUAUGAUCUGAAGACUCUGUUGUAGCAGCAGUCUGAUUCAUGACAUUCCCUAGUUGUCAAUGGGAUGAAUUCUGGAAUGAAGCCCAGAUUCUAAAGUCAACCCACAUGGGUUUUCUAAUGCAGGGGGAGUCAUCUCUGCUUUCAUCUUCAUUAAAUACCAUUAGAAUCAUCUUCCGACCCCUCAAGGAGAUGAGAAAUGUUGGAGCCUCCAAUGAUGCAUCAAUAGGAAGCAAGCUAAUCGGAAGAAUUCAAGAGCCUUGAGUAGAUCUCUCAGUCCUUAGCCUCAGAUCAACUAGUGGAGCCUUCCCCAUCCUGGGUAACCUCUGGAAGUCAAGUUGUCUUGAUUUGCAUUAUCAUCUUUAUUUAUCUGCUCUCCAGAGGAUCCCCAUCUUAACAAUUAAAGUACAUACAAGAAAAUGACUGAGGAUUUCCUUUUGGCUUCCCUGGAAAUGGAGGAUCAAGCUGAGUAAAUUCUCCAAGCUUCUCAAUUUGUGAAGAAAAAAAUGUUACAUUUAGAGGGAAAAAGGGGGAUCUUGACUAGUUAAAAAAAAAGUGGUGUGUGGGGACAGGGUGCAAGUGGGAGAAAGAAAGAAUAGCAAAGAAAAGAAGAGGUGUCAUUUGAGCGUCUCGCUGGUUUUUCUUCUAUCCUGGUUAUCAAAAGGGCAAAGAAAUUCCACUUCCCUUUCCCCUCCCUCAGGUGCCCUCAGGCCUGCGCAGCCUGGGCUGGGUUUGCAUGGCUUUCACAUGGCCUGAGCAGCCACCCUGUUUGAAAGUAAAGCAAGAGCAGCCACAAAGUGUCUGAGAUUCAUGAGAUCGCUCCACAAAUUAAAACCUUUUAUCAGCCUCUAAGAGCUGUGCAAACUAAUUAGACUUUGGCCAAACUUUGCCAAUGACUCCCUCGAGGUAUUAUUAUAAAAUUUUGAGCUUGGAAAUGCGUCCCCAUUCUGUCAACAUCAGGUUGUUUCAGCUACAGAAAUCGAGCUCCGGCUCAUUUUAGCUUCCAUGAUGUGCUUUGCAUAAACCGUGGCAUUUUGCACUGGUGUGGCAGGGAGGAGAGCAGCACAGCUGUAUUUGAAAACACGUAGGGAUGUUUCCCAGCAAUAGGACUUGAGACACAGGGACUGAGUUUCAAGAAAAACCCAUUUUUGCCCCUCAAUUUUAAGAAGACACUGCAGAGUUCUUAGCUUAAGAUGUAAAGGUGAGUACUCAACAUCGAGGUCUAACAGCUUCUCAUUUAGGGAGGACAUACCGUGUCCCUUCUCAAUGUUUCUGGCUCUUCAUAUGCAGAUGAACAGCUCUUACUAACAAAUUGCUGCCCGAAUCUUUGGUCAUGUUUUGAAGCAAAGUCUGGGAGAGGAGGCUUUCUGGGAGAGCUUGGUAAGAAGUCAGUAAACUUUGAUUUGUCUCAGAGGAUUUAGGUUCAUAAAUAGCAAGGGUGCAGACUCCAUGUGACUCAACGAAUUUUUGAAUGUGUCAGUCAAAAAAUAUUUAUCAAACAUAUAUAGGCUCUUUGGCAUUAUUAGAGGUAUGUAGGGGCAUCGACAGUGCCACGUAUGCCAGUGGAGCCGUUCGUACUCUUGCUGUGAAUAAUUCUGUGCGGGGCUGGCCUGGGAGUACAGAAUCCCUCCGCAGCAGACGUGUCCUUCCACACGCUCAGAGCCCCGGGACACAGCGGACCUUGAAGGGGAACAGAGAAGUAGAGGGUUUCCCUCAUCCUUAGCCUACGACUGGAGAAGGGGGCCAGGAAAUGAGAGGUGGUGUUUGUUUCCUUUGCUGAAAAUGGAGUGAGGUGACCUUCCGAUGUACCCAAGCACCUUAUGACAGUGUGUUUUUACCACUUCCCAGGACUGACCAUCUGCCCAACUUUUGGACCAAUCCUGGGCCACUGGUGGAGCCAGGAAGCCCGGAGGGUCAUGGAAGGGGAGACUCUUGCCCAGGAGUCCGCAAGAGGGCUAUGCAGCUGGCAUAUUGGCCCACAGAACCCCCAGCCCUGCAGCAUGGCUCCGAGUGCUCACAGGCCCAGAGCAGAGGCAGGAGUGGAGGCUGCCAGGGUUUAGACCCUCCUUCACUAAAGGGUCCCCAGGUUCAUUUUUGUCUCUGCCAUCUGCCAUCCCGUCUCACGGGCUCUCAUGAUGGGCUCAUCAGGUUCUUGAAUUCUUUCCAGUUGUCACUAAUUACACUGCAGAUCUGUAAAUCAUUCCAGGCUGGGGCUGACAGGGAGAGACGGGCCCUCUGCCAUGCUGAGCUCGGGGCUUCCUGCCACACCUGCAGCCAGUGACCCUAAGGCAGCCGCUGAUCGGUGCUCAAUGUAGAAGGCAGGGGUGGCCAGUCCCUCAGUCACCCAUCCCCAGGCUCUAGCCCUGGCUGUGGCCGCAUAUGCGUGUUCAUCCUGGGACCAGGUCUCAGGUAAUGCAACCCGGACUGGAAGAAUGUAGCCACUGUCUCUGCCUAUAGGUUCUUACUGCUCUUGGAAUAUUAAAGACAGCUGCGAGGAAAGGUGAGCUUAUUGCAUCUGGAGUUUGAUAAAGUUGGGACAGCGCUUCUCAAACUUAGUUUAAUAAUACAACAGACUGAUUCAUCAAUUCUGGGAUUGGGUCUACCAAUCUUCAUUUUAAAUGUGUACCCCAGGUGAUUCUUGGGUGGUGAUUCAGUACCCCACUUGAAGAACUACUGUACACUAACUUACACUUUUUCUGGCUCUAGGCUAUCAUUGACCCUCUUGUUUCUGGAUCGGGUGAGAACCUUCUCUUUUCAACCUUGCUAUUCCAAUAGGGACACAAAUGUCUUCUGAUCAAAACUACACUAGCUUCUGUGUACACAGGAGCUAUUCACAAUGCAGGUGCACAAGCCCUAUGCCUGUCACUGAGAGAAAGCCUGUGACCUCUGGGUGUUCUGCAGCCAGUGUGGUGGGUCGAGAGGGAACCCCCAGUUCCCCCAGCCCACCGGCUCACUGCACAGAUUGCUGGCUAAUGGGGCGGAGCUAGCUGAAGUGCCUUCUAUUAAUGGAGCAGAAUAUAAACAGAAUAAAGCCUUCAUUUCCCA